Non-coding RNA from Mus musculus (house mouse), 46 nucleotides. Lineage: Eukaryota; Metazoa; Chordata; Mammalia; Rodentia; Muridae. The record is from Rfam.
CAAAAGGCUCUUUUCAGGGCUACACACUUUAAACUAAGGAUGACUU